This 360-nucleotide ribosomal RNA is filed under the name uncultured alga. RNAcentral describes it as "bacterial LSU rRNA". It matches the Rfam family "Bacterial large subunit ribosomal RNA", at positions 2098 to 2465 of the family's 2925-position model. The record is from RNAcentral.
GCUUUACUAUAGCCUGGAAUUGGGUUCGGCUUCCCUUUGCGCAGAAUAGGUUGGGAGACCGAUGAAUCGCCUUGUGGGUGAUCCGAUCACGUGAAUACCACUCUAGGGGAGGCUAGAAUUCUAACUUGCUCCGUAAUCCGGGAGAAGAACAGUUUCAGGUGGGUAGUUUGGACUGGGGCCGCCUCCAAAAAGAACGGAGGCGCACAAAGGUUUCCCUCAGGCUGGAUGGAAAUCAGCAGAGAGUGUAAAGGCACAAGGGAGCUGACUUGGAACGAGACAACUCAAGCAGGUAGGAAACUAGGUCCCUUAGUGAUCCGACGGUGCUGCGUGGGAAAGGGCGUCGCUCACGAUAAAAAGUUA